CCUACGGGUGGCAGCAGUGGGGAAUAUUGGACAAUGGGGGAAACCCUGAUCCAGCGACGCCGCGUGAGUGAAGAAGUAUUUCGGUACGUAAAGCUCUAUCAGCAGGAAAGAAAAUGACGGUACCUGACUAAGAAGCCCCGGCUAACUACGUGCCAGCAGCCGCGGUAAUACGUAGGGGGCAAGCGUUAUCCGGAUUUACUGGGUGUAAAGGGAGCGUAGACGGCAGCGCAAGUCUGGAGUGAAAUGCCGGGGCCCAACCCCGGAACUGCUCUGGAAACUGUGAAGCUGGAGUGCAGGAGAGGUAAGCGGAAUUCCUGGUGUAGCGGUGAAAUGCGUAGAUAUCAUGAAGAACUCCGAUCGCGAAGGCAAGUGUCCGGGGUGCAACUGACGCUGAGGCUCGAAAGUGCGGGUAUCAAACAGGAUUAGAUACCCCAGUAGUC
This 440-nucleotide ribosomal RNA is filed under the name uncultured bacterium. RNAcentral describes it as "partial 16S ribosomal RNA". It matches the Rfam family "Bacterial small subunit ribosomal RNA", at positions 338 to 795 of the family's 1533-position model. The record is from RNAcentral.